AGCUGAUGCAUUCUUGGUGGCUCCUCCUCCCCCGCCACCGCAUUAGCUGUUCCCCUCUGGAGGUUCUUAUUACCUUCACAACUACAAGGGCCCAAGUUUUCUUGAGGCCCUCUUUU
RNAcentral lists this small RNA (116 nucleotides) under uncultured Ensifer sp. RNAcentral's name for it is "Alphaproteobacterial ar15". It matches the Rfam family "Alphaproteobacterial ar15". The record is from RNAcentral. Lineage: Bacteria; Pseudomonadati; Pseudomonadota; Alphaproteobacteria; Hyphomicrobiales; Rhizobiaceae.